UAUUUUGUUGGUUUCUAGGACCGCCGUAAUGAUUAAUAGGGACAGUCGGGGGCAUCAGUAUUCAAUUGUCAGAGGUGAAAUUCUUGGAUCUAUUGAAGACUAACUACUGCGAAAGCAUUUGCCAAGGAUGUUUUCAUUGAUAAGGAACGAAAGUUAGGGGAUCGAAGACGAUCAGAUACCGUCGUAGUCUUAACUAUAAACUAUGCCGACUAGGGAUCGGACGAUGUUAUCUUUUGACUCGUUCGGCACCUUUCGAGAAAUCAAAGUGCUUGGGCUCCAGGGGGAGUAUGGUCGCAAGGCUGAAACUUAAAGAAAUUGACGGAAGGGCACCACCAGGGGUGGAACCUGCGGCUUAAUUUGACACAACACGGGGAAACUCACCAGGUCCAGACACAGUGAGGAUUGACAGAUUGAUAGCUCUUUCUUGAUUCUGUGGGUGGUGGUGCAUGGCCGUUCUUAGUUGGUGGAGUGAUUUGUCUGCUUAAUUGCGAUAACGAACGAGACCUUAACCUGCUAAAUAGCCCUUAUUGCUUCGGCAGUAUGCUGGCUUCUUAGAGGGACUAUCGGCUCAAGCCGAUGGAAGUUUGAGGCAAUAACAGGUCUGUGAUGCCCUUAGAUGUCCUGGGCAGCACGCGCGUUACACUGACAAAGCCAGCGAGUAUUUCCUUGGCCGGAAGGCCCGGGUAAUCUUGUUAAACUUUGUCGUGCUGGGGAUAGAGCAUUGCAAU
Molecule: ribosomal RNA, 728 nt
Filed under: uncultured fungus
Lineage: Eukaryota; Fungi
Description: SSU rRNA
Rfam family: Eukaryotic small subunit ribosomal RNA
Source: RNAcentral